CGUUCAGCUAACUGAUACUAAUUGCCCGUAAGGCUUGAUCCUAUAACAAGUCUGCCUUGUAGAUCGGCGCCGUGCGAAAGCACUGGCCGCGAUCCAGAGCGACAUGUUGGAUUCUCGUGUGUGAUACACACAACCUAAAUUACUGCUUCUUCCCAGAUUGGUUCUGUUGGCCACGCCAGCAGAACAACCCUCUUUGCCUGAUGACCAUAGCGAGUCGGUCCCACCCCUUCCCAUCCCGAACAGGACCGUGAAACGACUCUACGCCGAUGAUAGUGCGGAUUCCCGUGUGAAAGUAGGUAAUCGUCAGGC
This 309-nucleotide ribosomal RNA is filed under the name Burkholderia vietnamiensis. The record is from RNAcentral. Lineage: Bacteria; Pseudomonadati; Pseudomonadota; Betaproteobacteria; Burkholderiales; Burkholderiaceae.